This 84-nucleotide transfer RNA is filed under the name Chaetomium globosum CBS 148.51. Its description in RNAcentral is "tRNA-Leu (CAG) (tRNA-Leu-CAG-1-1, tRNA-Leu-CAG-1-2, tRNA-Leu-CAG-3-1)". It matches the Rfam family "tRNA". Rfam says of the family: Transfer RNA (tRNA) molecules are approximately 80 nucleotides in length. Their secondary structure includes four short double-helical elements and three loops (D, anti-codon, and T loops). The record is from RNAcentral. Lineage: Eukaryota; Fungi; Ascomycota; Sordariomycetes; Sordariales; Chaetomiaceae.
GGCAAGGUGGCCGAGCGGUCUAAGGCGCCAGGUUCAGGUCCUGGUCUCAGUAAUGGGGCGUGAGUUCGAAUCUCACCCUUGUCA